UACAGUCUGGCACUCAAUAGUUACAAUAUGUUAUUCUCUAAUAAACCCUCCUCAAGACUUCCCUUCAAUUUGCUUGAAUGAAAUUUCAAUGGAUCCGUGAAGGCUAUCUUACUAUUGAUAAUUUUUUCCCAAUUCCUGUGUGUUCAGAGUAUUGAAUUUGAGCAUAUAACUACAAGUGUGACUUUGAAGCAGUAAGAUUGAUGCAUUGGAGGACCAUUUAGUUUAUUUUUUAACUGUAUCUUAGGAUGCAUGGAUCUUUGAUUGGGACCUAAGGGUAGAUAACGUCUUUGUAUUCUUGUGUCAAGCUCUUUCCAUAUGUUAGUAGGGGGUUGUGAAGUAUGGGUUGGAAUAUCAAGGAUGAGCAAUGCUACAGUAUACUUGUUCUAUCCUCUGACCUUUGGUUUUGAGUCGGUAACAAAGUCGGUGGUUUGAUCCAUAUCCUUGACAAUUUAAAAAGUACCUAUUUACCAGGUUAAUUUACCUUGAGAGGUUUUGUUCGUUUGAUAUUUUAGCUUGAUGAGCUGUUGCCGAUGGUUUCUAUUUACUUACUGUUGCUCGCUUCUUUCCCCAGGCUCAAAUACAGUAUCAGUGUUGUUGCUGACAAGGGUUUGAAAAAGCCCCUUUUUACAUCUUCACGCAUGAAAAAGGGUGAAGUUCUUUAUUUGGAAACCCAUACUCAAAGGUAUCUCCACUGGCUUCCCUCUCUAUUUACCUUGAGAGGUUUUGUUCGUUUGAUAUUUUAGCUUGAUGAGCUGUUGCCGAUGGUUUCUAUUUACUUACUGUUGCUCGCUUCUUUCCCCAGGCUCAAAUACAGUAUCAGUGUUGUUGCUGACAAGGG
Molecule: long non-coding RNA, 838 nt
Filed under: Nicotiana benthamiana
Lineage: Eukaryota; Viridiplantae; Streptophyta; Magnoliopsida; Solanales; Solanaceae
Description: long non-coding RNA (NBEN_LNC028693)
Source: RNAcentral